RNAcentral lists this ribosomal RNA (253 nucleotides) under uncultured bacterium. Its description in RNAcentral is "partial 16S ribosomal RNA". It matches the Rfam family "Bacterial small subunit ribosomal RNA", at positions 524 to 776 of the family's 1533-position model. The record is from RNAcentral.
UACGGGGGGGGCAAGCGUUGUUCGGAAUUACUGGGCGUAAAGGGCUCGUAGGCGGCCAACUAAGUCGGACGUGAAAUCCCCAGGCUCAACCUGGGAACUGCGUCCGAUACUGGAUGGCUUGAAUCCGGGAGAGGGAUGCAGAAUUCCAGGUGUAGCAGUGAAAUGCGUAGAUAUCGUGAGGAAGACCAGUGGCGAAGGCGGGUCUCUGGACAGUUCCUGACACUGAGGCACGAAGGCCAGGGGAGCAAACGGG